RNAcentral lists this long non-coding RNA (1900 nucleotides) under Sus scrofa (pig). RNAcentral describes it as "lncRNA (ENSSSCG00045028627.1)". Lineage: Eukaryota; Metazoa; Chordata; Mammalia; Artiodactyla; Suidae. The record is from RNAcentral.
AGGCCCUGACGGAUUACCGGGCAGAGCUCCGGGAUGACCCAAUCAUCAGCACGCACUUGGCCAAGUUGUAUGACAACUUACUGGAACAGAAUCUCAUCCGAGUCAUUGAGCCUUUUUCCCGAGUACAGAUUGAACACAUAUCUAGCCUCAUCAAACUCUCCAAGGCCGAUGUGGAAAGGAAAUUAUCACAGAUGAUUCUUGACAAGAAAUUUCAUGGGAUCUUGGACCAGGGGGAGGGCGUCUUGAUUAUUUUCGAUGAACCCCCAGUAGAUAAAACGUACGAAGCUGCACUGGAAACAAUUCAGAACAUGAGUAAAGUAGUGGAUUCCCUCUACAACAAAGCCAAGAAACUGACAUAGAAUUGGAUCUGUAGCGGUCCUUUGGAGAGUGUGUGUGGCGGGAGAGUGAAACCUUUGGGGAAAAUGCUAGGAGAUUCUUUUUUCUUUCUGUUCUACUUUUCGCUCGGAAAGUUUUUAAAUCCUCAUUUGGUGCAUCUGUAUUCCAGCCGAUAGGUGUGCCAGUUUUCAUGUAAUCUUUACUGGCCCAACUUGGGAGUGGGGAAAUUGCUUAAAAAAAAGAAAAAGAAAAAAAAAAAAAAAGGUUAUUCUAAAUAAAAGGAAAAAGGCUUACACUACCUAAAGCUGUGCUCUCUGCCUCCUGGGAGAGGGCUGCAAAGCCAGGCGCUCCGCCAGCCACUGGGGCUCCUGACCCACACUCGCUGGGUAUCACCUCGCCUCCUCUUCAGAAUUGGGUGUUUGCCUGACCAUCAAAGCAACGACUUUUUAUUCUGUUUGUACGGAACCAAAACAAACAACUGUGUAUAGACUAUUUUCUUUUUUAUUUGAAAUGAGGCGUUUCGGUGUUCUUUCCCCUGCCAUACGGCCUGUCCACUCGCCUCUCCCCCGACAUGGCUCCAGCAGACUGGCUGAAGGUCCCGCCGCCGCCGCCCCGCCGCCGCUGCAGCAGCAGCACCUGCUCGGCUCCGCUCCGACCUGUGAAGGACUGCGGAUGAGGCCAGGAGCUAGUGUCCACCUCGGCCACACGGGGAGCAGCGUGGGCCCUCUGGGGGCCUGCUGUGCAUGUGGCUCUUUUUAACACAGUAAACUAGAUUAGACGUCAGUGUUUUAAUUGCUCCCCCCUCUGCUUUUUUCUCUGUCUCCCUCUGUCUCCUCUCAGCCAGGAGACCAUCCCAUGUCUCUCUUUGCUUCCUCCUUCUCCCUCCAGGGAGAAAUUCUGAAAUUCUUCAGCUUCUCUCUCCGUCCCACUGCUCCUCUCCUGCUGGCAGAUGGAUUUAUUCCUUUUUAAAACAGUGAACAUUGGAAAUGAGACUGUGGGGUGUGGUUUUUUUCUCCCAGUUUCGUUGUUGGGUUUUCGCGCAACCUCAUGUCCCCCUCCCAGGGAGCUUCUCGAUUUACCUCUUAGAAGUGGGUGGCUGGGAGGUAGAGCACUGUACUCCAGCAUGCUUGGUUUAACGAUGAGAUUCCUUAGCAAGGCUUUAAUGCCGUUUGGGCAGGUAAGCUUCUGCACCUCUGUUGUGCUCAGCUCUGUUUUCUUCUUUCUCUCAUGUCCUCUUUGUCGUCCCUCCCGCUGCCCCCGCCUCCUUCCCGCUGGCCUCCUUUUCUCUUUCUUUCCCUUUCUCAGAUUAUCCUUCCAGGUUUUCGUAAUAAAUUUAUAUUUUGUAAAAGGAUUUUGUUGUACCAGGUUUUGCAUCCUCACUGAAUCUGACUGGCUUUUGUUUUCCUCUCCAAAAUCAGGUAUUUGUUCUCAACAUCUUUCCCCAUCAUGUCCAGUCACUGUUUUGGUUUUGGCACCAUCAAUAUCAAAUGUACAAACGGUUCUUGCUAACCAACACCAGGUAUAUCUGAUGUUCAGAUGAGUUCCAAUAAAAACAAUUUUUUUU